RNAcentral lists this ribosomal RNA (414 nucleotides) under uncultured microorganism. RNAcentral describes it as "bacterial SSU rRNA". It matches the Rfam family "Archaeal small subunit ribosomal RNA", at positions 459 to 872 of the family's 1478-position model. The record is from RNAcentral.
CAGCAGCCGCGGUAAUACCGGCAGCCCGAGUGAUGGCCGAUCUUAUUGGGCCUAAAGCGUCCGUAGCUGGCCGCACAAGUCCAUCGGAAAAUCCACCCGCUCAACGGGUGGGCGUCCGGUGGAAACUGUGUGGCUUGGGACCGGAAGGCGCGACGGGUACGUCCGGGGUAGGAGUGAAAUCCUGUAAUCCUGGACGGACCGCCGAUGGCGAAAGCACGUCGCGAGAACGGAUCCGACAGUGAGGGACGAAAGCUAGGGUCUCGAACCGGAUUAGAUACCCGGGUAGUCCUAGCCGUAAACGAUGCCUGCUAGGUGUGGCUCCCACUACGAGUGGGUGCUGUGCCGUAGGGAAGCCGCUAAGCAGGCCGCCUGGGAAGUACGUCCGCAAGGAUGAAACUUAAAGGAAUUGGCGGG